UGAGGAAUAUUGGUCAAUGGACGCAAGUCUGAACCAGCCAUGCCGCGUGAAGGAUGACGGCCUUCUGGGUUGUAAACUUCUUUUAUUGGGGAAGAAACCUCCGAUUUUUAUUGGGGCUGACGGUACCCAAGGAAUAAGCACCGGCUAACUCCGUGCCAGCAGCCGCGGUAAUACGGAGGGUGCAAGCGUUAUCCGGAUUUACUGGGUUUAAAGGGUGUGUAGGCGGAUUGUUAAGUCAGUGGUGAAAUCUCCAGGCUCAACCUGGAAACUGCCGUUGAUACUAUCAGUCUUGAAUUCUGUUGAGGUAGGCGGAAUAUGUCAUGUAGCGGUGAAAUGCUUAGAGAUGACAUGGAACACCGAUUGCGAAGGCAGCUUACUAAGCAGAGAUUGACGCUGAGGCACGAAAGCGUGGGGAUCAAACAG
RNAcentral lists this ribosomal RNA (423 nucleotides) under uncultured organism. Its description in RNAcentral is "bacterial SSU rRNA". It matches the Rfam family "Bacterial small subunit ribosomal RNA", at positions 355 to 775 of the family's 1533-position model. The record is from RNAcentral.